This 253-nucleotide ribosomal RNA is filed under the name uncultured bacterium. RNAcentral describes it as "partial 16S ribosomal RNA". It matches the Rfam family "Bacterial small subunit ribosomal RNA", at positions 524 to 776 of the family's 1533-position model. The record is from RNAcentral.
UACAGAGGGGGCAAGCGUUGUUCGGAAUUACUGGGCGUAAAGGGCGCGUAGGCGGCCUGCUAAGUCGAACGUGAAAUCCCUGGGCUCAACCCAGGAACUGCGUCCGAUACUGGUUGGCUUGAAUCCGGGAGAGGGAUGUGGAAUUCCCGGUGUAGCGGUGAAAUGCGUAGAGAUCGGGAGGAAGGCCGGUGGCGAAGGCGGCGCUCUGGAACAUUUCUGACGCUGAGGCUCGAAAGCGUGGGGAGCAAACAGG